RNAcentral lists this long non-coding RNA (10179 nucleotides) under Phaseolus vulgaris (common bean). Its description in RNAcentral is "long non-coding RNA (PVUL_LNC003270)". Lineage: Eukaryota; Viridiplantae; Streptophyta; Magnoliopsida; Fabales; Fabaceae. The record is from RNAcentral.
UAUGGUGUUUGCUUGCUCAGACUCAAGAGUGUGCCCAUCCCAUGUGCUUGAUUUCCAACCUGGAGAGGCCUUUGUGGUGAGAAAUGUUGCUAACAUUGUCCCACCAUAUGACCAGGUAUGUCUCCAAAAAAUUCCUAUUGACAUGUCUGAACACAAUUUUUUAUGAUCCAACUCUUAAACACUUCUUUUGUCUGAACACAAUAGUACUCAGACUUACUUUGUUUUACUCUACUGUGCACCAGUCAAAAUACUCUGGAACUGGAGCAGCCAUUGAGUAUGCCGUUUUGCAUCUCAAGGUAUGUUACCAUUCAUUCAUUGGAAGAUAUAUGAGAUGCACAGAAUUUCAGGCACAUUGUACUUUCUGUGUUACUGAUAUGAACACUAAUAAUGGUGAGAAAAUGUCAAGAAUUCUUAACCCAUCUUAUUUGUCUGUAGGUUUCCAACAUUGUUGUCAUUGGACACAGUGCUUGUGGUGGUAUCAAGGGGCUUUUAUCUUUCCCAUAUGAUGGAACCUACUCAACGUAAGUCAUUUUCCUCUGCAUAAAAAUUGGAAUUUUUCAAUCAAUUAGACAUAUAAUUUGAUGCACAAAUUUUACCUACUAGUUCAUUCUUAAACCAUCAUGAUAUCCAACAUUCCACACUAAAUGGUGUAUAUAAACAAAGGAAAAAUCUCAUCUUAUGAGCUAAUUUUUUGAAGUCAAGUUAAACUUAAAACCCAAAAUAAGUUGGUUUCAAAACUUGUGGAUUUACUUCUGAUUUGUUGUAUUCAGUGAUUUUAUUGAGGAAUGGGUCAAAAUUGGCUUACCUGCAAAGGCAAAGGUGAAGACACAGCAUGGAGAUGCACCUUUUGGUGAGCUGUGCACACACUGUGAGAAGGUAAGAGACAUUAGUUCAAGCCACAUGCUAGAUAAAUAUUUUUCAUGAAACUCAUUAUACUUGACUUGUACAUAUAAUAUAAGGACAAAACCAGUUCCAUAAGUAUUUCUAGUACUAUUCUGUUAUCAGAAUUGAAGUUUUACUUCAUUUAUCCAUGUUAUCCUUGAAAAGAAACCAUCAUUAUUCAAAUUGAAGUGCACUGAUUUAUAAGUAAACUAAAUGUAGGUGAUGCUUACAAUUUCAAUUGGAAUUAUAUAUGUGCAGGAAGCUGUUAAUGUUUCCCUUGGAAACCUGCUAACCUACCCAUUUGUGAGAGAUGGCUUGGUGAACAAAACAUUGGCACUGAAAGGAGGAUACUAUGACUUUGUUAAGGGAUCUUUUGAGCUCUGGGGCCUUAACUUUGGCCUUGCAUCCUCUUUCUCCGUAUGAACAUCAACCAUUAUCAAUGACCUCAUCUUGGUUCCCUAAGUAUUCUCCUAUCUAAAAUGUACUCUGUAAUUGCCCUUGUUAUGUAUGACAUGCUUGUGCUGAAUUUCCUAAUAAAAAAAAGUGCAUUGAGAUUUCCAUAGAUCACUCUCUCCCCCCAAAUUGUAGUUCUUCUUCAAGUAAGAAAAAUGUACUGUUUUAUGGUCUUUCACCACUGCAUUUUUCUUCUUUGUUAGGUUAAAGAUGUGGCCACCAUUCUGCAUUGGAAGCUAUAGGCCAUGCUUAGAGGUCGUGUGUCUGCAAUGAAGAGGCCUAGCCACCUUCACCAUAUCAUAUUUUAUAAAUAUAUAUAUGAAACUAUGAACUGUGUUUAUGCAUGUCGGAAAAUCUUCUUUUAAUAAGAGUUGGAAAUCCUCUUGUGUAACCAAAUUUUCUUUCUUCAACCUUCAUCUUUCUAUAUGCCCAAAAUCAUGAGAGGGGAGAGAAAUCACUAUUUUCUCUCUUCUAAAAUAACUUCAGUUUAAAGUUUUUAACAUAAAAUUAAAACAAGAAUAAAUAUGUCACUUCUUAAAGUAACAUCCUUUUCUCAAAAAAUUUCUCUUAUAGACUGCAUGAUGCAAAUACUAACAUAGUUUAAUUGAGAGCAAAUUAUAGUUACAAUCAAAAUUAAUACAAACAUCAGUUAAUUAAAGUUAAUGCAGGCAUUUAGUUUGAAAUCUUUUGAAAAACUAAAACUACAGACAAAAGAAGUAACAUUUAGCAAUGCUAAAACAGUGCCAAAGGUUUUGUGUGAAUUUUUCUUUUGAACAAGUGUUUCUAUGUAAUUCACUCAACUAUAAAUUAAAAAAAAGUUGGUAGUUAACUGAAAUCAUUAGUGAGAACUUGAUAUAAAUUAAUAAUAUAGAGAGAUUUAUCCAAAGUCUUUUGUCAAACCUUUGCAGUCACUUCAACAACUUGCAAUGUUGCAGGCCACUUUUUAUCAUGACCCCAGCUUUUUGUUUUACUCAUUGACUUGGAAAUUUCAUAUGGAAUUUUUAUAAUUUUACCUUCUAGAACUUCAUGUCUCAUAAACUAAAUUUAGAAAGAAUUUCUGAUAUUUACCCCUGAAUAAGUAUUAAAGACAUGUUUAUGAAUUCCAAAAAUUUUAAAAAUAUGGUAAGGUGAAUCUCUUUGGAUUUAGUUUGAAAGCAUUUUGAUGCUCUGCAUUGAAAUUUGGAAAAUCAUGGGAAACAAAUAGCUUUUAGACUGAGUAUUGCAUCCCCCAAGUAUAUAAUGUAUGUAACUUGAACUCUUGAAGGAUGAAUUUAUGUAUUCUAUUCUUAUGAGUAUAUAAUUCCAAAAUCAUUAACAGUUUUGCACCCUGGUGAUAAAUUAACUCUAUCAGAGUGCAUCAAAGAAUAGAUACUUUAUCUCAGCUUUGAUUAUUCAAGUGUGAACAACUCUGGUUUUGGAAUUUUGAGAAGCAUAACAAAAUGGCAGAAAGUGAAAUUCUAACUGUAUUAGCAGUUAAUCAGAUAAGAGCUGAAGCCAACAACAUAUGCAAUUAAGCAUCUAGAAAUUUCAAUUUUAUUAUGUUUUUGAGUUUGAAAAGGAUGAUAAUAAUAAUAUGAGUGAAAUAAUUUUAAGACUAAAAUAAAAAACAAAGAAAAAAGAGUGCUGUUAUUAAUCGAACUGAUAUUCAAAUUUGGCAGAAGUCAUUUUUCCAUUUAUCUUUCUGGUUUUUGUUAUCCAUUCAUUUUCUUUUGGCAUACCCAAAAAGCAAGUCCAAUCUUAGAAAGUGAAAAGUUUGGGGUAAGAUUCUCCUAGUGUUACAUUAUUCUGUUGUUGCUUGUUAAUGUUUUGGUACAAGUGAAGUGUCCAAAAUCAGUAAAAUGUUAUCACUGAGAUGAAAUUUUCAUAAACUUAUGCAGACUUUGAUAUCUUCAAAGAUUUCAUAUGUAAGUUUUACAAGAACUCAAAGAAACACUGGUUUAAGAGUUUCAAAGAGAAGCAACCAGUAGUCUUGUCUUUGCCAUUGCAUUGUUUGCCUAAAAGUGGUAUUAAUUAAUGGUUUAUAGAACUCUUGCUGUAACAAAAUAGCACACUACCAUUAAUGAUUCUUUGACUCUAAAUCACAUUGAACUGUUAGUGAUGAAAGAUAAUACAAUGCAGAAACAACAUCAGUGAUGAUAACGUUGAGUGAGAUGGGUGGACAAAUUUCUCCAAAAACUUCACAAACAACCACCAAAAUUAUUGUAGGAUAUAUGUUAUACUACUAUUUACCAAUGAUUUCAAAAGCUCUAGCCACCUAGAUUGUUCAUAUACAAUGUCAUACGUCCAAGAUUUUGUAGCUUCUCUAACUCAUAUUUUUUCUGGUCAUUGGUUAGAUGCAUUUGUGAUGGAAGGUUGAAUUAGACAUGAGAUUUGAUCGCCAAUAUAAAAAUGUAGGAAAGCUUAGAAAAUGUCGGGUAGAAAUGUUGGAAAACUCGUCAAGAAAUGUGAUCAAAUUAUAUAUAAAAAUGUAGGAAAGUUUAGAAAAUGUUGGGUAGAAAUAUUGGAGAACUUUUUCAUAAAUAUGGUCAAACUAUAAUGGGUGUUUCUCCCUGCACCCUCAACAAAUGGCUUCCUGCACCCCAUCAUUUUCGAAAAAGAUCAUUUUACCCUUUUAAAAAUAACUUUUAGAUUAGUUUUUUUCGAAUAUUUUUGGAAUUUACUUUCCAAAACACAUUCUAUGAAUUCCGGAUUUAUCAUUCCGAAAAUUAAAAAAAUGUGUUUCAGAAAGGAUAUUCCAUAAUGAUUUUUUGUCUUCUAAAUUUUCUAUUCUGGAAACACGAACCUUAUUCCAGAAACACCUUUUGUUUACGGAAUCCCUAUUUCAGAAUCACCCAAAAUUAUUAAGGAUAAUUUUAGUAUUUCAAAGAAUGUAGGGUGCAGGAAGAAAAUUGUAGGGGUGCAUGAAGAAAUACCCAACUAUAAUACAUAGCUGCAUACAUACCUCAAUUUUCCAUGUUGAUUUUAUAUACUUGAAUUACACUUAAAUUCUAAUAUUAGAAAUUUUGUAUUGUCUAAAAAAAUAAUUAAAUUAUAGUACAUACGCAAGCUUUAGCUUUCUUACCAAUAUUAGUUGGAUUUGUGGGGUCAUCUAAUAUCGGACCUCCCUCUGUUUCUUCUAAUUUAAAAAAGGAAAAUAAUAGAUUAAAUUGAAUUUUAUUAAAUAGAUCCAUUUAGAUCAAAUUUUUACUUUCAUUUUUUAAUGAAUUGACUAAUGGAUUUUUUUGUCAUUAUAAUUCAAAAAUAAAAUUUAUUGAAUCAAUGUUGUUUGUCACCUCUACUUAAAUUUAUAGUUGAGAAACUAGAAAUAAUUCUGAAAAUUAUUUCAGUACUUCAAAUUUCAAAAGACUAAAAAGCAUAAUUAAGAAAAAAUAUCACUUACGUUAUUUUGAUUUUACAUUCGUGGUUGUAAACAGUGAUAAAAACAUUCAGUGCUUAAUGUGAUCCCAUAUGGAUCAAGGAGGCACUACCAUUUACAUUGGCAUUUAAGCACCAAAUUGAGGAAUUUAUCUUACAGAAUCAAAUAUAGUUUGAUAAUGUAACAAGGUUUGCUUAGUUACAACAAUGUCAAUCCCUUUGUUUGGUUUUCAGCUAGAAAAUUACAGGCAUCAGAAAGUAAAAUGGAAAAAAAAAAUCAUAUCUGUUUUCCAAUUGAACAUGAUUUUAAACUGAGUUUUAACAUAAUUUUACCUUGAAACUGAGUUUGGAAUGGAUGUAAAGAAAAUUGUUUUCAUAUACUGAGUUCACCUAGAGAAUUCCAUCUAAACUUAAAUUUACACACUUUAAUUCAAACAGUCUUGGUUAUGCAACACCAUCACUUCCCAAGUUGUUGUUUUUUUCUGCUUUAAGUGAAAGCUUCAUGAUCUCAUUAUUUAGUCAUCAAAACAAGCUAGAGUUUUGGCACUGUUUUUUUCUAUUGAACUCUCUCUAACACCCUUUACUAUAAUAAAAAAUGAUGAAAGGAACAAAAACCAUUUCAGAAAAUAGAAUAAAAAUGAGCCACAAUGAGCAUACCCCUUCUAUGAAAUUGUAUGGGGGCAAAAUAGACGUGGCAGAUUAUAUUAAGUUUAAUAGUGAGGAAGUUAAAGGAUGAUGAGCUGUGAGUUCCAUAGUGUGUAUAUAUAUGUACAAUUGGAGAUGUUUAUGAAGUAAGAUACAACUAAAGAAUACCAGUAAAACAGCUUCAUUCAUUCCCUGGCAAUGGCAUAUGAAAUGUAUAUAUACAUGCAGGAUAAUGGAUGAGUUGCAUAUCAUCAUGAUUCAUCAGGUUUUGGCUCCAAAAUGACAGGGAUCUUCUCCUUGUGAUCACCUCUCAAAACCUCCACAAUCACCUGAAUAUCAACAUUAUUAACCAUUAAACUAGGAAUAUAAAGCAGGUUUAAAUGGAUACACAUUGAGUCUCUCGAUGCAAGUUUUUAGCACAGGGUGAGAUGUUUUACAUAGAGGCAAUUUCACAGACCAAAAGUCAGAAAGACAAACCAAGACACAUCAACAACAAGUUUAAAAACAGAUUAAGAAAAUAGAUAGAUGUUCAUAGGAUGGAUUUGGCUUGGUUGUCCCUACUCAGCCUGAACUUUUUAUAAGGUCAUUUAAUCUGAAUUUGUUCUGAACAAGACUCAAGACUCAGCAGCAAUGUAUGGAACACGAUAGAUUCAGGACUUUCUGUUGACAUAAUACAUCAGACUUUUAACAUUAUAUGUAGGUAAAUCAUAAAAUUAAAGUAUGACCUUAAAUUUAAGGUAUAUUUUAAAACACACAUAUAAGUUUAAUUUCUAUCCAGUAAUGUAAAUAUUCUUUACUGUCAGUCAAUAAAUUACUAUCUAAGAUAGUUAUUAUAUAAGCUAACAAAUUUAAGUUACACACAUAUAAGAUAGUUAUUAUAUAACAAAUUUAUCAUACAUAACAAGAUGUGAUUGAUAACAGUAUGAAGAACCUUUACAAUGUAGUGCAUUCUAAUCAAAUUCACAAAAUAUAAUAUCAGAUUUUGUAAAAUGUUACGUUAAGAAGUAUUGUAACUAAUAUUUAUUAAAGAGUGUAUUAAGAAUAUGUGCAUCAAGCCAGGUUGGGAUGAGUGAAGUAUAAUCCAAACUCUUCCUUAAAACAACUUGAUCUAAUUUCUAAAAUCUGAACCUGUUCAAAUUAGCUUUGACUUGAGCUUGGUUAGUCAGACAGAACAGUCUUAAACAGCCAUAAAACGAGAUAACCCUUUUGUUCCAUUCCUCCAAAACUUUCAUUUUUCUGUUGAUUAUUACUAUUCAGACAAACUUAUGAGUUAUUAUGAUACACAAGUUACAAUGAAGGUUGUACAGACAAAAGCAAAUAAGAUAUUUAAUUUGACUCUUUCCAGAGUGCCCAAAUAUUAACAGGGUAUAUUAUAUACUACCUCCAUGACUACAAUUUAAGGGUUUCUUUACAUAGAUUAAGAAUAACAAUAAAUAUGCUGCCAUGUCAACCGGAUGCUCAAACACAAGAUGAAGCUAUUUGAAAAUGUUCUUACAUCCCUUUUUUUAUUUGCUUUGGAAAUCCAGUCCAGGAUUUAAUAAUAGUUUUGAAAACAAUAGAGCAGUUGAAUCAGCACCAUACCUUUUCCCCCACUUUACACUGGUCAAGAAUUCUGUACAAAUCACUUCCAUUAGUGACCUUCUUGUCAUUCACAGAUGUUAUGAUGUCACCUAAAAUGAGUCUACCAUAAGAGUCACGCUUUGUUGAUUGCAAGCCCUGAAAAGUAGAAAUUAGACAGGCUCCAUUGAAAAAUUGUAACUAAGUAAAUUAAGAUAAAGCAAUACAACAUUAGUUUUAAUGUGAAAAUGAAGCUUAAGACAUGUUAUUGGCAUUAAAAUUUUGAGUGACCAGCUUUAGGGCGGUGCUAAAGAGGCUUAUGUUAACAAGAAAUCUAUGCUACUAUUUGGUUCAUAUAGCUGAAAUUUCGAAAUGAAUUUCCUCUCUUACAUAAAAAUAAUAUAUGAACAAACUUACUGCUUUUCCAGCAGGACCAUUGGCAGGAGCAUCUAAGACCAGCACUCCACUUACACCCAACUGCUCCACAGACUGAUCUGGAGCAAACUUAAUCCCUAAAAUAGGUCUUGUAACCUUCCCAAACUUCACCAAUUGGUCAACAAUACCAUUUACCUAAAUAUAUAGAACAACAAGCACAUUAGCAAUUUUAUUUAGAGGAUCUCUAUGUUUCCAUCAAAAGUUGUCCCCUGAAGAAAGAAUUGGAUAUAUAAAUUAAAACCAGGUCAAAGUAAGAACUCACAGUGUCCACUGGAAUAGAAAAUCCAACACCAGAGGACGCACCAGAUGGAGAAUAUAUGGCUGUAUUUAUCCCAAUGAGGUUUCCAGAACUAUCUAAGAGAGGCCCUCCACUGUUACCAGGAUUAAUUGCUGCAUCUGUCUGUAUAACAUCUUGAAUUGGACGACCAGUUGCAGCAGAACUAAUUUCUCGCCUAAGUCCACUAUUGAAGAGGUAUGUAUGUAUUAGUGAAACGCAAUCAACAGAAAAGAAACAUAAAAAAGAAAAAACAGAGUAUCCAGCUUUCAAGUUACUAAGUAUCAGCAUAAUGGUGUGAACUUUUGAAAAACAGUAUUAACCUAAGGAAUACCAUGCUUAAAAGAGUAGAUUUUGUAUGAACUAUGACACAUCUUUAUUCAGGAAAGGGAUUAAUGGCAUAAUGGCAUCCCACUAGAAGAAAAAAAAAUUGAUUUCUACAAUAAGAUUUUCCCACAAGUCCAUUAUAAAAGUUAAUCAUCCCAACAAAUAUUUAUAGGAAAAGGAAUGAAUUAAGUACAACUAAUCAAACUUUUUCAUAAGUUAAAAUCAACUUAUGUGCACGUAAGCAACAGAUGCAGUCACAUUUUUUGGCACAAUAAUAUCUUCCAUUCAUCUUCUCAGAUGUUUCUAAUUUUAAAUUUGCAAUACAAUGCAUGUCAUCAUGAAAACUACCCCAGAAAGUGACAUUGGGAACAAGAAAGCAACAGUUGCUACUUCUACACUCCUAAAUAUAAAAUGUUUGAUUGACAAAUAUAUAAUCUGACACAAGGAAAGGAAAAGGAAUACCAAAGUAGAAACUGUGUUUUUUAGGUAAUGAGAGUUACAUCAAAAUAUUCACUUCACAGUUUUAAGUUUCAUACCUGAUAACCCCAGUUGUGAGUGUGUGAUCUAGUCCAAACUGCAAGAUAAGAAUGAAUGAGGAAUCAUAUUCGCAUAUUCAAGAAGAGUUGAACGUAUCAAUCAUCAACAAAAAAAAUAGCAAUUAAGCCAUGAAUACAGCUCCAUGAAGCAGUUUGGCAGCAAUUACAAGGUACCAACAAUGACAAUUUACCAAUUUAGUAAUUUUCUUUUUAUCUUUUAUAGAAAGGUCUGUUUUGUUUUGAACUCGCCCCUAUUUACACAAUUGAAUUGCGCAUUCAAAAAAAUAUAUAACAUGUGAAAACACUAAUAUUUCUAUAUAGAGAUAUGCACGACAGAAUAACUUAGAUCUCCAAUGCAUUUUUAACAUAAAUUUUUGCAUACACAUUUACAACAGGAGCAGGAAAUGCUGAUUAAAUAAGUAUAUACUUAUGCAAUCUAUAUGUUAGAUUAAAUUAGACAACUGUUAAAAAUAUGAUUUAAACAAAAUCUCCUCGAUUAGCUAAAGCUCAUCAUUUCUUUAUAUUGGAAAAAUCAUAGAUAAUGAAUAUAUAUAACACAAAUGCAUUGAUCGGUAUGAACAUCUCACCGGGUUCCCAAUAGCAUAAACCUUCUGACCAACAAGCAAGUCAGCAGAGACCCCAAUAGGUAUAGGCCUGAGCUUGUCUUUUGGUGCCUCAACAUGCAGCACAGCAACAUCCUUGUCUUGGUCAAAACCAACAACUUUGGCAUCAUAAGUUGACUGGUCAGCUAGAGUGACCCUGCACAUAACUAGCAUCUCUUUGAAUAGGAGUAAUCUAAUCACUUCACUGAAGUCAUCCCAACACAUACAUCAAUCUACCACCAAACUUUCUAUUGAUUGAAUUCACUUCUUAAUGCCAGGAAAAGUUGCCAUGCAAACACAGCCAUACAUGUUGAAGGAGGUGCAAAUGUGCAAAGUAACACAUAAUUAUCACCUCGCUUUUGUUUCAAUACAAGGCUACUUAUACACCCUCUGUCCUAGAUUAUAACACAUUGUUUUGAAAUUCCUUUGUCCUUUUCUAAUUAUCCCCUUUUUUUUACCAAAAUAUCCUUAAUUAUUCUAUUUCAUAAAUAAAGAAUAAAUUCUAUGAAUUGUCUCUAUCUCUCUUAUGAAGAUAGGAGAAUUGGAGGGCUAAGUUUUAAAAUUUAAAGCUUCACUACUAUUAUUGUCUCUCAACUCAAUCCAUUAAUUGUUUAAGGGAAAGUUUGAAAAAACUUUACAAUUACUGCAAACUUAACGUUACUAACUAAAUUAACCAACUUUCUUAAUAAGUGUAAAUUAGUCAUCAAAAUUUUAUAUUUAGGGAUUGUAGGAGUAUAAUUCAUUUAGCAAUAGAUAUGUCACAUUGCACAUAAUAUAAAAUAUUUGGCUGCAUAACUAAAAAGUUCCCAUUUGUCAGCAUAAUACCACUCAAAGGUCAAAACCAGACAUGUUCCCAUCUCUGACUAGCAGCGGCGAAAAAUAAAAAGUACAAGUUUGAGAAACUGGAUCAAAAGAUUCCAAAAGUAAAAAUUAAUUAAAUACACUGAUAGGAUAAAAAAGAAUUCCCAUAUAUAUAAGAUUGUUGCCUUUUGUAAUAAUUAUUUUAAAAAUCAUAUCUAGAAUGACUUUUUAAUGGCUAACAGUGUAAAAAAAUAAUUUUGUUAGAAUACACAGCUAUCUAUCAUGACGGAUGAAGAUACAUAUCUAAAAUGUA